GACGAACGCUGGCGGCGUGCUUAACACAUGCAAGUCGAACGGAAAGGCCCUGCUUUUGUGGGGUGCUCGAGUGGCGAACGGGUGAGUAACACGUGAGUAACCUGCCCUUGACUUUGGGAUAACUUCAGGAAACUGGGGCUAAUACCGGAUAGGAGCUCCUGCUGCAUGGUGGGGGUUGGAAAGUUUCGGCGGUUGGGGAUGGACUCGCGGCUUAUCAGCUUGUUGGUGGGGUAGUGGUUUACCAAGGCUUUGACGGGUAGCCGGCCUGAGAGGGUGACCGGCCACAUUGGGACUGAGAUACGGCCCAGUCUCCUACGGGAGGCAGUAGUGGGGAAUAUUGCACAAUGGGCGGAAGCCUGAUGCAGCAACGCCGCGUGCGGGAUGACGGCCUUCGGGUUGUAAACCGCUUUCGCCUGUGACGAAGCGUGAGUGACGGUAAUGGGUAAAGAAGCACCGGCUAACUACGUG
This 468-nucleotide ribosomal RNA is filed under the name uncultured bacterium. RNAcentral describes it as "partial 16S ribosomal RNA". It matches the Rfam family "Bacterial small subunit ribosomal RNA", at positions 28 to 507 of the family's 1533-position model. The record is from RNAcentral.